CCUGCUUCUGCCUCCUGAGUGCUGGGAUUAAAGGUGUGUGCCACCACUGCCCGGCCACUUAAUGGUUUUUUUUUUUUACACAAUUUUGGAUUAUUAAAAGAGAUAGCUUAGGAAUGGUUAGGAAUAUGUUUACACAUACCAUCAUGAAUUCUCAAAUCCUUCCUUCAUUUCCUUCAUGCCAAAUGUCUAAGAAGUAGUGAUUUGGCAACUGUAGAUACCAGAUAUAUGAAUGCAUUCCAGCUACAGAUCACCAGCUGUACAGUGUUGCCCACGUUGGGUUUAAUGCUCAUUGCGAUGGAAGGGAAAAUGAACCACCGAGCAUAGGAGUAUGCCACAACAGAAAGGUGGUGGGACUUAGAGAGGGGUAGGGCAUGGUGGCACAAACCUGCCAUCCCAGCACUUGGAAAGAAGAGGGGGCGGUGUGCUCCUGCAGAGAACCUAAGUUUGGUUCCCAGUACCCACACUGGGCAACUCUCAACCACCUGUAACCCCAUCUCUAGGUGGGGUGUCUGAAAUCUGGACUCUGAGGGUACCGGUACCUGCACUCCAUAUGCACACAGACACACACGUCUGCACACACACACACACACACACAUGUGUCUGUACACACAUCUGCACACACACGUGUCUGUACACACACAGGUCAGCACACACACAUCUGCACACACACGUGUCUGUACACAUACACACACAUUUUAUUUUAAAGGGGAGAAACUUCCGUUUGGGAUUUGGGUUAGUGAUUUGGGCGUUUAAGGAAGUGGGUAUUGUCAAAGGAGGCAGGGGUCAUUCUACAGGUGGGCAUCUUGAAAAGGAGGACUGGCUACAGGGUACUAAAGCUGUGGUGGUGAUGCAGCAGCCAUCGCUCUAGCUUAGACGCAGAUGCUUGCUUCUUUGUGACAUGCACACUAAUCUUAUGCUUAAAGUGUGAAUUGGUUAUAUUAUUUUUUGUCUUUACCACAGUCAUUCUCUUGUUUUUUUGUUGUUUUUGAGACAGGAUUUCUCUGUAACAGCCCUGGCAGUUCUGGAACUCACUCUGUAGACCAGGCUGGCCUCUAAUUCACAGAGAUCCACCUACCUAUGUCUCCCGGGUGCUGGGAUUAAAGGGGUGCGCCACCACCAUCCGGCCAUCACUGGAUGACAGUCUUGUGCUGAUAUUUUGCAUUUGGUUCAACACCAAAACUGUGAACCCAUCAGCUCAAUGAUGAAACCUGGCUGGCUCUGUCAGCUCAGCUCCUAGACAUCAGGAGAUAAUAUGUGCAUGUGUGUGUGUGCUGGUGAGCUUAAGUCUUGCAGAUAGUAAGUGCGUGUGUGUGUGUGUGUGUGUGUGUGCGCGUGUGUGUGCGUGUGUGUGCGUGUGUGCUGGUGAGCUUAAGUCUUGCAGAUAGUAAGUGCGUGUGUGUGUGCGCGCGUGUGUGUGCUUGUGUGCUGGUGAGCUUAAGUCUUGCAGAUAGUAAGUGCGUGUGUGUGUGCUCGCGUGUGUGUGUGUGCUGGUGAGCUUAAGUCUUGCAGAUAGUAAGUGCGCGUGUGUGUGUGCUCACACUUGCUCAACCAGGUUCACAUUCCCAGUUCUAGUAGCCCACGUCCCCCAAAAGCACAGGGGGCCAGGUUUGGUUCCCAGCAGCCACACAACUGCUCACAGCAGUCUAACUACAGUUCCAGGGGAUCCAACACCCUCUUCUGGCUUCCGUGGGCUGCGCAAACAAGCGGUACAAAGACAUGUCCUCAAGCACACACAAAUACCCAUAAAACAAAUAAUCAACAACAAAGCAUACAAGGUCAGCCUUGGCUAUUUAGCAAGCUCAAAGCCAGCCAGAGCUACAUGAGACCCUGUUUCAAAAGCACAAGAAACCACACCGUGUGAACUGUCCCUGGUAAAAGGUGAAAAAUCCUCUAUUCACCUCAGUUAGGGUAGGAACAAUAGACCUUGAUAACGAGCUAUUUGAAUCUAGCUUGAUAAGCCAAUGAGUUCAUUAGGUUUAAUUAAUUAAUUAGGUUUUUCUCUGUGUAGCCCUGGCUGUCCUGGAACUCUCUCUGUAGACCAGGCCGGCCUCAAACUGACAGAGAUCUGCUUGCCUCUGCCUCCAGAGUGCUGGGAUUAAAGGCAUGUGCCAUGAGUGACGUGAUACCCAAACAGCCCUACCAAAGUGUCCCUCCCUCAACAGAGUCUUCUGCCCAAGCUUCAUGUGCUCUAGUGCCUCCUGAGACCUCGUGGCCCUGGGGCAGGGUUACUGGGGAAAGACAACACAGGAGGGAGCGAAUUGCUGGGAUCUCACUGGAGGGAUGAUGACCCCACACCGUCUAUGGGGCAACUUCAGCAGAAGAAGAUCUUGCUGAGGGUUUUUUGUAGGUACUCAUGGCUGCUCUGAUGGAGAGAGAGAGAGUGGAGCCAAGACAGGAGCCUCAAACCAAGUGGCUAAGGGGACAAGAGACAGAGACGCCAGCAGCCAAAAUGGCUGUUUAUACAGGAAUCAGAAAAGCUGGGUAAGUAGGCCCUGGGUGAGAGUUUGGAGUCGGUGGCACAUAUGCAAGCCAGGAGGACUGUGUAACAGGUCGGGACUGAGGGAGACGGUGACAUGAGUCCACCAAGACAUGUUAAUAGGAAAUAUGGAAUUAGCCUUUUUUUUCUUCCCCUUUGGUUUUUCGAGACAGGGUUACUCUGUGGCUUUGGAGGCUGUCCUAGAACUAGCUCUUGUAGACCAGGCUGGUCUCGAACUCACAGAGAUCCACCUGCCUCUGCCUUCCAAGUGCUGGGAUUAAAAGCGUGCGCCACCAACGCCCAGCUGGAAUUAAUCUUUAGUCCUGAGUUUGAGACCUAACGGAGUGCUUGCAGCUACCACUGUCUUCAAGAGUUCUGCUGGCCCCUGCUCACAGCCGCUCACGACACCUCGGCCUGCUGACUAUUUCAUCUCUCCUAGGAAGAGGCAGGGGUCACAGGAGCUAACCCUGCCCUAAUUGCCUUGGGGUCAUGGUUCAUGGGGGCAGGGCUAGAGGGUGUAGGUCGGAAAGGCCGAGGGGAAGGCGCUCUUCUCGGUACAACCAUGGGGAUGCUGUCAUCCCUCCUGGGUGCCGACAGUCCAGUGCUGCUCUUACUCAUACCUUCUCACUCGCUGUUCUGUAAGUAAGCCUGAUAACUCACUGGUUCCCCCAGUGAACUUUGGUGGAAUUGUACCUUAGUCUUUGGAACUUUAGAAUUAGGGUUAAACAUCGUGUAUGUCACCAGGGAAGGAAUAUUCCCAACACUUGCCAGGAUGAGUUGGGAAGACCAUGGUAUCGCUCCUGAUAGAAGCAUGACUUGGACAGCAGCAGUGUCACUGUCUGAAGAGGGACACAGCUGCUUGGCUACUGAAGCCCACCAUGUGAGUAUGGAGAUGGCCUGAGGGAAAUGACUCACCAGAGACCAGGAUACCGGAAGUGGCUGCCAAGGCUGCAGGGAUGCUACUGGGCAGUGAGAAACAACUUCGGGGCCACAUGUGGUGACACUUUUUUUCUUUUCUUAAUUAAUUUUUAAAUUUCACAUGACAACCACCGUUCCCCCUCCCUCAUCUCCCCCAGUUCCCUCCCCCACCUUUCUACAACCCCCCAUCCUCUCCUCAGAAGGGGCGAGUCCUCCCACGGGAGCCAACGAAGCAUGGUAUAUCAAGCAGAAGCAGGACCAAGCUCCUCCCGAUGCAUCAAGGCUAAACAAGGCAUCCCACCAUAGGGAAUGGGCUCCAAAGAGUCAGUUCAUGCACUGGGGAUAGGCCCUGGCCCCACAAACAGACCAAGCUACACACCUGUCAGUCACCCUCUGGAGACAGGAAUAAAGAAAGGGCACGCAGGUGGAUCCCUCCCUGGAGUUAGAGUGAUCAACAUGCCUGUCACCCACUCCCAGACUCAGGGACCCUUAUGGGAGAGGGUUGGGAAGAAUGUGAGAGAAGGGUAGAGGUUUUGUGCAGGACUAUCCUCGAACCCAAACUGCUGCCUAGGAGUUCUGCUGGGCCUGCUCGCCAAAGCUCUCGUCACAGCUGGGCCUGUUGACUAUUCCCAUCUCUCCUAGGAGGAGGAGGCAGGAGGGUCAAGGGACCCUCACCUGAGUAUCCAGCCAACCCUGCCCACCGGCUGUAUGCAGUUCUGCCCUAAUUGCCUUGGGGCCGUGGUUCAUGGCGGCAGAGCUAGAGGGUGUAGUGGGAAAGGCUGAGGGGAAGGCGCCCUCGCGGCCAUGAGGAAGCCAUCAUCCCUCCUGGGUGUUGCUGCUUUAAGGUUACCAUCUGGUGCUCCGGCUCACAACUUCCCACUCGCUGUUCUGUAGAGGCGAUUCACAACACUCCUCUGACAGAGGACCUGAGACUGGUUCCCAGCACCCAAACCUGUGACUCUGGAUGCACACACUCAGUCUAUAUGUUGUGUAUGUGUGCUGAUUCAUGAGGACGGAUGCCAGAAGAGGACGAAAAGAGGAUGCCCAGUCCUCUGUCACAGGCCAGAAGCAAGCGCUCAGCCUCCCACCACGCUCUGAUGUUUUUCUGUUUUCUUUUCUUUGUUUGUUUGUUUUUCAAGACAGGGUUUCUCUGUGUUGUUUUGGAGCCUGUAAACCAGCAAGACCCGGUGAUUCUCUGUCUCUGUCCCUCUGGGAAAGGGGCAUAGGCUUGCUCUGGGGCCCAGCUUCUUAGGUGGGUGCUGGGAAUAGAACUCCGUUCCUCCUGAUUGUGCAGUAAGCCCUUUACCACUGACCCAUCUCCUCCCUGGUUAUGGGUUUUUAAAGAUCACUGACAAACCAGAGAGACAGGUGAAAAAAAGUCAAACCAAACAAAUAGCAAAUAAUUUUGAAGAGAAGGGGUGAGUCCAAAGCAAGCAAUGUCUCAGAUGUUUAAAAGGCUAUCCAGUCAAUCAUGACAGUGUAUACUUCCUAGUUACUCCAGAGACUGAGGCAGAAGGAUUGCUAAAUUGAAGACAAACCUGGAAAAUUUGUCAAAUAAAAAGGAUUGUGGGGACAGUGUGUCAUAUGCCUUUAAUCCCAGUACCCUGGAAGAAGUGGCAGGUAAAUCUCUGGGUUCCAAGUCAGCCACGGCUACAUAGUAAGGCCCUAUCCUAAAAUAAAUUAAUGAAGAUGGCGCAGCUGGCUGCACAGUAGAGCGGAGUCCUGUGCUGUGCAAAGGAAAUAAAAUGGACUAAAAGGGAUUCUAGACUAAUAUCCAACAUUUACUUAGUAUAAACCAAGGCACGGUGCUAGGCAUUUUAUGUAUAAUAGCGCACAUACAGCGCCCACACUCAACAUUCAAACACACACACACACACUCACAACCUCCUGUAACUACAGUUUCAGGACAAUGAUACCCUCUCCUGACCUCCUCAUGUACAAGGCACUCAUGUACCACACAAACAUACAUGCAGCAGGCAAAGCACCCAUAUAUAUAAAGUAAUUUUUUUGAGAUGGUUUUUCUGUGUAGUCCUGGCUGUCCUGGACUCACUCUGUAGACCAGAAUCUCUGCCUCUGGCCGGCUAUAAAAUAAAAAAUGUAAGGAACUGAAAACAAAACACGCGAAUAUUCUGCUAGGCUUCAAUUACUAAGGAACGGGUCAGGAUUCAAUUAGGCAAUAUGACUCCAGACUAUAAUAAAGCUAUCCGACUGACGGUAGCUUUUGAAGAUGAGUAACGAUAAAAGCUUCCUCAAUCCUGUCUCCUUCCGUCUUCUAGAGUGUGUUGAGAUCGAAUACCACAUCCGACCAUGUGCUUCCCGCCGGAGGCAAUGAUGCACCCAGAAGUCCCUACUCAAGCCUUGUCCAUCGAGACGCUGCCUUUACAGCAUGUAACCACCAGGUGGCGCCCGUGACACAAGAUUGACAACAGAUGGAGCCCCACCCUGUUUGUGCAAAAUAAGGCUUGGCAGCUAAACCUGUGGCUCUGGUGUCGCAGCUGUGACAAAACCUUCCUGAAGAUCUUGAGAGAUGUCGCUAUGGGAUGGAUGAGGAAAGGAAGCCUGUCUAUUCAGCAGGAGCUUUUCCCUUUGCUCUGGUUUUGGUGGGUGAGAGCGCUCCAACUAAGGACGGUCCUCACUUUGCAGCCUUAGUUCUGGCAAGCAGACCACCCAUCUCUCUUCCAACCUCUGCUGUCUUUUCCUACUUGCUCACGUUUGGUGGGGAACCUGGGUAAGACAGAGAAUUGAGCCUCAGUUCUGCAAUGGGGUGGGACAGUCUAGAGAAAGGAAAGUAAAACUUAAGAUUGCUUUUUGAAGCAUA
Molecule: long non-coding RNA, 6212 nt
Organism: Mesocricetus auratus (golden hamster)
Lineage: Eukaryota; Metazoa; Chordata; Mammalia; Rodentia; Cricetidae
Exons: 3
Source: RefSeq, a predicted model, not a curated record